ACUUGUCUUAGAAAAUGUACCUUGGGAACAAGCUUUUAGUAAAAUGAUUUUAUAUUGUGAAAAUGUGCUAUACAAUGGUUUAUGUGUUAUCACAAUAUGAUAAUAUGCAUUGGAUGCUUCUUUACAUGUUGAUUUGAACCCGGCUAUGUGCGAGUAGGAGUGCACAUAAGCCGUUGCUGACCCGGCUAUGUGUGAGUGGGAGUGCACAUAAGCCGUUGUUGCCUCCGUAGCUUAUAGGGCUGGAUGCUUCGUGAUCUUCCACCCUAUGAGUGCUUUGAUAGGUAUGAUCUGUGGCGAAGUAUGACUCUCCACCCAAGAGCUUGGAGGAGGAGGGAAGGGACUGCUCCGUUG
RNAcentral lists this long non-coding RNA (351 nucleotides) under Theobroma cacao (cacao). Its description in RNAcentral is "long non-coding RNA (TCAC_LNC005969)". Lineage: Eukaryota; Viridiplantae; Streptophyta; Magnoliopsida; Malvales; Malvaceae. The record is from RNAcentral.